Molecule: small nucleolar RNA, 158 nt
Filed under: Chlorocebus sabaeus (green monkey)
Lineage: Eukaryota; Metazoa; Chordata; Mammalia; Primates; Cercopithecidae
Description: Small nucleolar RNA SNORA48 (ENSCSAG00000020125.1)
Rfam family: Small nucleolar RNA SNORA48
About the family: The snoRNA ACA 48 has been identified to guide pseudouridylation of the residue U3797 in the 28S rRNA subunit. Its host gene EIF4A1 (eukaryotic translation initiation factor 4A1) is shared with U67 and snoRNA mgU6-77
Source: RNAcentral
AACUCCAGCCUGGGCGACAGAGCCAGACUCUGUCUAAAAAAAAAAAAAAAAGCUUGAUGGUGCCCAUCUCAUGUCAGCCAGGAACAAAGCAACCCCUUGUUUAUCCCAGCUUGGCUUCUGGUCUAUGCCCAUGCCUGGUUUAUGCUUUGGACACAUAG